AGAGUUUGAUCCUGGCUCAGGAUGAACGCUAGCGGCAGGCUUAACACAUGCAAGUCGAGGGGUAACAUUGUGCUUGCACAGAUGACGACCGGCGCACGGGUGCGUAACGCGUAUAGAACCUACCUUUUACAGAGGAAUAGCCUUUAGAAAUGAAGAUUAAUGCCUUAUGGUAUUAUAGACUGGCAUCAGUUUAUAAUUAAAGAUUUAUCGGUAAAAGAUGGCUAUGCGUCCUAUUAGUUAGUUGGUAAGGUAACGGCUUACCAAGACAGCGAUAGGUAGGGGUCCUGAGAGGGAGAUCCCCCACACUGGUACUGAGACACGGACCAGACUCCUACGGGAGGCAGCAGUGAGGAAUAUUGGACAAUGGAGGAGACUCUGACCCAGCCAUGCCGCGUGUAGGAAGAAUGCCCUAUGGGUUGUAAACUACUUUUAUACAGGAAGAAACACUGGUAUGUAUACCAGCUUGACGGUACUGUAAGAAUAAGGACCGGCUAACUCCGUGCCAGCAGCCGCGGUAAUACGGAGGGUCCGAGCGUUAUCCGGAAUCAUUGGGUUUAAAGGGUCCGCAGGCGGUCUAUUAAGUCAGAGGUGAAAUCCCAUAGCUCAACUAUGGAACUGCCUUUGAUACUGGUUGACUUGAGUCAUAUGGAAGUAGAUAGAAUGUGUAGUGUAGCGGUGAAAUGCAUAGAUAUUACACAGAAUACCGAUUGCGAAGGCAGUCUACUACGUAUGUACUGACGCUGAGGGACGAAAGCGUGGGGAGCGAACAGGAUUAGAUACCCUGGUAGUCCACGCCGUAAACGAUGGAUACUAGUUGUUGGGAUUUAUCUCAGUGACUAAGCGAAAGUGAUAAGUAUCCCACCUGGGGAGUA
This 872-nucleotide ribosomal RNA is filed under the name uncultured Bacteroidota bacterium. RNAcentral describes it as "bacterial SSU rRNA". It matches the Rfam family "Bacterial small subunit ribosomal RNA", at positions 8 to 882 of the family's 1533-position model. Lineage: Bacteria; Pseudomonadati; Bacteroidota. The record is from RNAcentral.